AGAAUCAACGCUGGCGGCGUGCCUAACACAUGCAAGUCGAACGAGAAAGUGGAGCAAUCCAUGAGUAAAGUGGCGCACGGGUGAGUAACACGUGACUAACCUACCCUUGAGUGGGGGAUAACCUAGAGAAAUCUGGGCUAAUACCGCAUAAUACCUUCGGGUCAAAGGAGCAAUUCGCUUAAGGAGGGGGUCGCGGCCGAUUAGUUAGUUGGCGGGGUAAUGGCCCACCAAGACUAUGAUCGGUAUCCGGCCUGAGAGGGCGCACGGACACACUGGAACUGAAACACGGUCCAGACUCCUACGGGAGGCAGCAGUGGGAAUUUUGCGCAAUGGGGGAACCCUGACGCAGCAACGCCGCGUGGAGGAUGAAGUCCCGUUGGGACGUAAACUCCUUUCGAUCGGGACGAUAAGUGACGGUACCGAGAGAAGAAGCCCCGGCUAACUUCGUGCCAGCAGCCGC
This 460-nucleotide ribosomal RNA is filed under the name uncultured bacterium. Its description in RNAcentral is "SSU rRNA". It matches the Rfam family "Bacterial small subunit ribosomal RNA", at positions 26 to 518 of the family's 1533-position model. The record is from RNAcentral.